CAGCAGCCGCGGUAAUACGUAGGGUGCAAGCGUUAAUCGGAAUUACUGGGCGUAAAGCGUGCGCAGGCGGCUAUGCAAGACAGAUGUGAAAUCCCCGGGCUCAACCUGGGAACUGCAUUUGUGACUGCAUGGCUAGAGUACGGUAGAGGGGGAUGGAAUUCCGCGUGUAGCAGUGAAAUGCGUAGAUAUGCGGAGGAACACCGAUGGCGAAGGCAAUCCCCUGGACCUGUACUGACGCUCAUGCACGAAAGCGUGGGGAGCAAACAGGAUUAGAUACCCGCGUAGUCCCUGUCUCUUAUAA
RNAcentral lists this ribosomal RNA (301 nucleotides) under uncultured bacterium. RNAcentral describes it as "partial 16S ribosomal RNA". It matches the Rfam family "Bacterial small subunit ribosomal RNA", at positions 509 to 809 of the family's 1533-position model. The record is from RNAcentral.